RNAcentral lists this ribosomal RNA (406 nucleotides) under uncultured bacterium. Its description in RNAcentral is "bacterial SSU rRNA". It matches the Rfam family "Bacterial small subunit ribosomal RNA", at positions 28 to 429 of the family's 1533-position model. The record is from RNAcentral.
GACGAACGCUGGCGGCGCGCUUAACACAUGCAAGUCGAGCGAGAACCAGGCCUUCGGGCCUGGGGAAAGCGGCGAACGGGUGAGUAACACGUGGGUAACCCACCCUUGGUACCGGGAUAGCCCGAGGAAACUCGGAUUAAUACCGGAUGGCCCAACAGUCUUUCGGGGCGGUUGGAAAAGGUAGCUUCGGCCUCCGACCAAGGACGGGCCCGCGGCGGAUUAGCUUGUUGGUGGGGUAAUGGCCUACCAAGGCGACGAUCCGUAGCGGUCUGAGAGGACGAUCAGCCACACUGGGACUGAGACACGGCCCAGACUCCUACGGGAGGCAGCAGUGGGGAAUCUUGCGCAAUGGGCGAAAGCCUGACGCAGCGACGCCGCGUGGGGGAAGAAGGCUUUCGGUUGUAAA